CUCGUAUGGUCGCCAGAGAUGGCUUCCUUCCCGGCAAGGGGCGAGAACACAGGUGCUGCAUGGCUGUCGUCAGCUCGUGUCGUGAGAUGUUGGUUAAGUCCCGCAACGAGCGCAACCCUCGCCCUUAGUUGCCAUCAUUUAGUUGGGCACUCUAAGGGGACUGCCGGUGAUAAGCCGCGAGGAAGGUGGGGAUGACGUCAAGUCCUCAUGGCCCUUACGGGCUGGGCUACACACGUGCUACAAUGGCGGUGACAAUGGAUGCAAGGGAGCAAUCCUUAGCAAAUCUCAAAAAGCCGUCUCAGUUCGGAUUGGGGUCUGCAACUCGACCCCAUGAAGUUGGAAUCGCUAGUAAUCGCAGAUCAGCACGCUGCGGUGAAUACGUUCCCGGGCCUUGUACACACCGCCCGUCACACCAUGGGAGUUGGCUUUACCUGAAGACGGUGCGCUAACCGCAAGGAGGCAGCCGGCCACGGUAGGGUCAGCGACUGGGGUGAAGUCGUAACAAGGUAGGCGUAGUGCU
Molecule: ribosomal RNA, 520 nt
Filed under: uncultured bacterium
Lineage: Bacteria
Description: bacterial SSU rRNA
Rfam family: Bacterial small subunit ribosomal RNA
Source: RNAcentral